GAUGAAGAACGCAGCGAAAUGCGAUAAGUAAUGUGAAUUGCAGAAUUCAGUGAAUCAUCGAAUCUUUGAACGCACAUUGCGCCCGCCAGCAUUCUGGCGGGCAUGCCUGUUCGAGCGUCAUUUCAACCCUCAAGCUCUGCUUGGUGUUGGGGCCCUACGGUUGACGUAGGCCCUUAAAGGUAGUGGCGGACCCUCUCGGAGCCUCCUUUGCGUAGUAACUAACGUCUCGCAUUGGGAUUCGGAGGGACUCUUGCCGUAAAACCCCCAAAUUUUCUAAUGGUUGACCUCGGAUCAGGUAGGAAUACCCGCUGAACUUAAGCAUAUCAUAAGCGAGGA
Molecule: unclassified non-coding RNA, 336 nt
Filed under: soil metagenome
Description: partial contains 5.8S ribosomal RNA, internal transcribed spacer 2, and large subunit ribosomal RNA
Rfam family: 5.8S ribosomal RNA (bases 1-120)
Source: RNAcentral